RNAcentral lists this ribosomal RNA (200 nucleotides) under uncultured eukaryote. Its description in RNAcentral is "partial 18S ribosomal RNA". It matches the Rfam family "Eukaryotic small subunit ribosomal RNA", at positions 589 to 799 of the family's 1831-position model. The record is from RNAcentral.
CUCUAAUAGCGUAUAUUAAAGUUGUUGCAGUUAAAAAGCUCGUAGUCGGAUCUUGGGAUCGGACGUGCUGUCGGCCAAUGGUCGGACGGUUUGUUUGAUUCUUUUUUUUCUAGGAGGGCGUCACCAUUAAUUUGGGGGCGAUUCCGCUUAGAUCGUUUACUUUGAAAAAAUUAGAGUGUUCAAGCAGGCCAUCGCUUGAA